This 253-nucleotide ribosomal RNA is filed under the name uncultured bacterium. RNAcentral's name for it is "partial 16S ribosomal RNA". It matches the Rfam family "Bacterial small subunit ribosomal RNA", at positions 524 to 776 of the family's 1533-position model. The record is from RNAcentral.
UACGUAGGGCGCAAGCGUUGUCCGGAAUUAUUGGGCGUAAAGAGCUCGUAGGUGGCGUGUCGCGUCUGCCGUGAAAGCCCAUGGCUUAACUGUGGGUCUGCGGUGGAUACGGGCAGGCUGGAGGCUGGUAGGGGCAAGCGGAAUUCCUGGUGUAGCGGUGAAAUGCGCAGAUAUCAGGAGGAACACCGGUGGCGAAGGCGGGUCUCUGGGACGGUACUGACGCUGAGACGCGAAAGCGUGGGGAGCGAACAGG